This 253-nucleotide ribosomal RNA is filed under the name uncultured bacterium. Its description in RNAcentral is "partial 16S ribosomal RNA". It matches the Rfam family "Bacterial small subunit ribosomal RNA", at positions 524 to 776 of the family's 1533-position model. The record is from RNAcentral.
GACGAACCGUCCAAACGUUAUUCGGAAUCACUGGGCUUAAAGGGUGCGUAGGCGGCGCGGCAAGUUGGGUGUGAAAUACCUCGGCUUAACCGAGGAACUGCGCCCAAAACUGCCGUGCUUGAGGAAGAUAGAGGUGAGCGGAACUUAGGGUGGAGCGGUGAAAUGCGUUGAUAUCCUAAGGAACACCGGUGGCGAAAGCGGCUCACUGGAUCUUUUCUGACGCUGAGGCACGAAAGCUAGGGGAGCGAACGGG